This is a transfer RNA of Ipomoea nil (Japanese morning glory), 94 nucleotides long. It matches the Rfam family "tRNA". Rfam says of the family: Transfer RNA (tRNA) molecules are approximately 80 nucleotides in length. Their secondary structure includes four short double-helical elements and three loops (D, anti-codon, and T loops). The record is from Rfam. Lineage: Eukaryota; Viridiplantae; Streptophyta; Magnoliopsida; Solanales; Convolvulaceae.
UCGACCAUAGUUCAGUUGGUAGAGUGGAGGACUGUAGUUUAAUUAAUCUAAAUUGGAAAUCCUUUGGUCGCUGGUUCGAAUCCGGCAGGUCGGA